GCUGGGCAUGGUGGUGCACGCCUGUAAUCCCAGUGGUUUGGGAGGCUGAGAUAGGAGGAUCACAAGUUCAAAGCCAGCCUCAGUAAAAAGUGAGGUGCUAAGCAACUCCAUGAAACCCUGUCUCUA
Molecule: small RNA, 126 nt
Filed under: Marmota monax (woodchuck)
Lineage: Eukaryota; Metazoa; Chordata; Mammalia; Rodentia; Sciuridae
Source: RNAcentral